Molecule: long non-coding RNA, 1796 nt
Filed under: Canis lupus familiaris (dog)
Lineage: Eukaryota; Metazoa; Chordata; Mammalia; Carnivora; Canidae
Description: lncRNA (ENSCAFG00030010338.1)
Source: RNAcentral
GGGCCAAGGUGAUUCCCUUCAGCAACCUGAGCUGCAGUCGGUUGGCUCCUGGGCAGAAUUAGCGAGAGGUUAAGAGAGUUAUUUCUACUUGGUGACUAACCCCAUUUGAUUGUCUUAAGUGCGUCUGGCUUCUGGAGCGUGCUUUUAUUUCAGAUGAUUAUGAAUGUUCCGAGUGGACUCCUUGCCGCCCACCUGGCUUAAGGACUGUAAGGCACUUCGGAAAUCAAAUUUCAGGAAAGAAGAUUGGUUUGAGAAACAAUGAACGAGGAGAAAUCUUCUCUUUGCAGAGCUGCUGUGUGUCAAAGUUUAUCCUCAUUAUAUUAUGUUUCCUCUUUUGAAGGCCCACUGAGAUGAGUUUCUGCUAAUUCUCUUACAUAAAGUAGGAUGUGGAGGUCUCCGAUUCCUGCUCAGGGCUGGGAAUGGCCGCGUUCUGCAGGCUGGUGCCUCGCUGGAGCUCCAGCUGGAUGGCUCCUCUGAUGAUUGGGACUCUCUCCUGUUUGCAGUCGCCCUGAAGCUUGGGUUAGAGCAGCCAAGGAGGCUUCAGCACAUGUCCAGGCCUUGUCACAGGUGCCUGGGAAACUGGCUCAUCUGGAGUGUUGGGAUACCUGGGCCUCUGCCUUCCUUCCAUGUAGACCCAGGGCCUCAGUGUUGCCCUGGAGACUCUCCAGAAGGGCAGCUGGACAUCGGAGGUGGCGGUUCAACGCUCCCAAAAGGGCCAACGUAGAAGCUGUUGGUGCCGUGUCCCAUUUCCACCACAUUCUUUUGGUUAAAGUGGGUCACGGGGCCAAAGAGAGUCAAUGUGGGGUGAUGUGGACAGGAGUAUGAAUGUGGGAGGUCUGGGUCCCCGGGGCCUCUUUGGAGAAGAGCUACCGUCCACGGUGCUAGUGCUCGCUGAGAAUUGAGAAACAAACAAAUAAAAUAAAAUAAAAUAAAAAACUAGAGGAGGAGCCAUCUUGAAAGAGGGAUUUUAAGCUGAAUUUCGAGUCGACGGAGCUUCAGAUCCAUAGGAGACGUCCAGGAGGAGGGGGACACGGGUAGGGAUCUGUAAGUUAGGAGAGAAGCCUGGACUCGAGAUGGAGGCCGGAGCAUCCCCGUCGUGUGGCAGCUGCUCUAGGGAGACCGAGGAGAGUGAGAGGACAUGAGAGGCCAGGGUAGAAAACUGAGAAACUCUGAAAUUUAAAGAUUGGGAUUGGGAAGAAGAAGCUUAAUGGGAGGCCGCGGGGAUGAGGUCAAAGGGGUCACAGGAAAAUCAGGAGAGCUCUUUUUUUGUUCCUUUUUAAGAUUUAUUUAUUAGCAAGUCAGCGGAGGGGCAGGGGGAGAGGGAGAGAGAGACGCCCGAGCAGACGCCGCCCAGAGCACGGGGUCAGACAAGGGCUCGAGCUCAGGACCCCCGGGCUCCCGACUUGAGCGGGAAUCCGGAGUCCCACGGCACUUAACCCCCCAGACGCCCCAAGGACACCUCUGACUCGCACGAUCCAGGAAAGGUUGGCAGGGUCAGGUGCCGCCGGCCAGGCUGGAAGCCAGAACAGGCUGGUGAUGACGUCGUAACAGAACCCCGCCCCAGCCACGGCGGGAGCACUGGGGGCUCCCUGCCCUGGGCCCCGGGCUCGCAGGGCCCUGAGGAGGCCCACGCGGAGCCCUCGCCCCAGGGGCCGGGCUACGUUCAUCCCAUGUCUCCGCCAUGUGAAGGGAAGGACCCGGAGCCCCAACGGGGGGCAGCUCUCAGGGGGUCCCCGUGCCCUAGAGGCCUUGGCACAGCCGUCGCCCGCAGCUCUCCCCAAACCUGCCGGGGCCAG